RNAcentral lists this non-coding RNA (126 nucleotides) under Mus musculus (house mouse). Lineage: Eukaryota; Metazoa; Chordata; Mammalia; Rodentia; Muridae. The record is from RNAcentral.
UCAAUCUUUACCACGCUCCUUUCAGUGACAUAAGCACCUUAGUGACUGAUACUCCCACUUUUGGCUGCUUCCGAAGCAGCUAAGAACUGGUUUAGAGAGGCUACGUUACAGAAAGGGUGAGACCAA